Molecule: long non-coding RNA, 896 nt
Organism: Mustela erminea (ermine)
Lineage: Eukaryota; Metazoa; Chordata; Mammalia; Carnivora; Mustelidae
Exons: 3
Source: RefSeq, a predicted model, not a curated record
UUGGCAGGACUGUGGCGCCCAGAGGUGCAGCUGUGUGGGUCCCCUUCCUUGGGGCAGGGGCUCCACCAGAAGUCCCUCCUGCAGAGUCAGUGAGGAGGGGGUGCUCAGGGGUGCCCUUGGCGGGACCUGAAUCCUCCAUGCUCCGGGAGGUGGCCCCGAGCCUGAGAAACAGGAUUGGAGAGGCCGAGGAACUGAUGACCCAGGUCUCUUUCAGGGGACAGAUCUGACCCUCCCUGGAGGCAGUGGGUGACGCACUCCUGCUCGCAGCUCCUUCGAGGGGCCCCGUGGGCUCCCUUGUAUCCUCCAAGAUCAUUCACGUUGUAGCAGGUGUCAGAAGAGACCACGUUUUACGCACCCACUCGUCCGUCCACGGACCCAAGUUUGCUUCUGCGUUUUGGCUCUCGUGAGCACCGCUGCUAUGAGCGUGUUCCUGAAGCUUGUCUUUGUAAAAUGACUUUGAAGUCGACUUACGAGCCACACGCAAGCCCAGGGCUAUCGAUGGCCCCUACUGCUUGAUCGUCUGUCUGUCUGAUUCAUCAGUGUCUGUACAUAUGUUGGCCUUUUCCAAAAGUCAAAUCCACAAGUUCAAGCAGCCCCUGAAGUGAGAGGUAAAAGCAUCCGCCAUGGGCUCUGCCUCGUAUGGUCAACCCUCGCGGCAGUGUGUUCCCAAAGGCCCGUGACGACCAGCCAUGACGGUGUGGCCCGGCCACACACAGUGGAUGCCCAGUGGCUCUGGAACCUGGUCCCCAGGCUGAAGGCUUGAAAGCGCUCGAGCUGGAGCUCCCUGGGGCCUUCGGCUCUGCGAGCGAAUGGAGCUGCCCUGCUCGUAAGUCCUGGUAAUCGCUCUGGUUCCAGGAGCUACGAAGACGAGUCAGAAACCCCAGCAUUAAAUCUCA